Molecule: ribosomal RNA, 245 nt
Filed under: uncultured bacterium
Lineage: Bacteria
Description: partial 16S ribosomal RNA
Rfam family: Bacterial small subunit ribosomal RNA
Source: RNAcentral
UACGUAGGGGGCAAGCGUUGUCCGGAGUUACUGGGCGUAAAGCGCACGCAGGCGGUCUGGUAAGUUUGGAGUGACAGUCAUCGGCUUAACUGAUGAAGUGCUUCGAAAACUGCCCGACUUGAGGGCUUCAGAGGGACACGGAAUUCCGGGUGUAGUGGUGAAAUGCGUAGAUAUCCGGAGGAACACCAAAGGCGUAGGCAGUGUCCUGGGAAGUUCCUGACGCUCAGGUGCGAAAGCUAGGGGAG